Molecule: long non-coding RNA, 1374 nt
Organism: Anolis carolinensis (green anole)
Lineage: Eukaryota; Metazoa; Chordata; Lepidosauria; Squamata; Anolidae
Exons: 3
Source: RefSeq, a predicted model, not a curated record
UUGCCAAGAGCAUUCAGUGUUCUUCACACACAUGGCUCUGAAUAGUAGUAUAUCUUUAAUAUGGAAGGGAGAAGUGGAGUAGAUGUGAAGGGACAACAGCCUUGGAUCAGAUAUUUACAUUUUUGGUUUCUUCCAGGUUCACAAGUCCUUGUUACAUAUUACAGUUGAAGUGACCAUCCUUCAUCAACAGUUGGAGGGGUUCUUCCAUAAUGUGCCCCUGACUUUUACCAAUGCAAUUUCCAGAAGAGACCAAAAAGAAAAAGAAAAAAAGAAGAAGGAAAUAUGCUGAUCUUUGGCAAACAUUUUUCUAUUCCAUGGCAUAAAGCUUCUCUGUUCCUUUGGAAAGGAGAUAAGGUCAUAAAAAGAGCAAUAAAACUGUUCUUUUCUGCAAAAUGUGCAGUUCUAAUGCCCUCUUUUUAAUAUAGACCAGCAUGCUUUAAGAGGUUUAACACUUCAUCAGUUCAGCUGAUAUGAAGAGGCAGACAGGGAGUGAUGUCCCUGCUUCCAACAUAGUUUCAAACAUUCUGACCUGCCAUUUUCAAGUCAUGAAUGGUGGAAGAAACCACAUCAACUCUUGCCCACAAGUGCAUGCAUGUUGAAGACAGCAGACAUGAUGGAAAUGAGCUACCCAAUGUUUAGGAGGACUCGCAACUUGGAGAUGAUGAUGAUGAUGAUGAUGAUGAUGAUGAUGAUGAUGAUGAUGAUGAUGAUCAUCAUCAUCAUCAUCAUCAUCAUCAUCAUCAUGACCAUGAUGACUGGGCUAUCUAGAGUCUUGUAGCCCUUGAAAAUAAAAAAAAACAACAACAACAAUAACAACAAUGCAAUAUUUAUUUCUUCCCUUCCUCUCCCCAUUGAUUGAAUUGACUUCAAGGGCCCAGUGUUGGCCUCACUCACUUUCCAUCCCCUUUCUGCACAGCGAGGCUAUGAAACCUUUAAAUCAUACCUGAGUUUUCUCCAGCAGCACAUAAAACCUCUCAAGAGAAGGCUCCAGCCAUGGUCUUAUAAUGUUCUGGGACAAGCUAUAGGAAUGGGCAAAGUUUAAAUACAAGAGGUCAUAUUUAAAAGGAGACCUUCCUAUAUAAAUCAAAAUCCCUUUGAUUCAACAGAAUAUGUCAAGAAGAUUCUUACUGAAUAAAAAAAAUAAAAUAAUCCUGCAUGCUGUUUCAUACCUAUGACCAAAUGCCUAUGAAAAGCCCACAACUGAGGCAUGAAAUUAAUGGUUUUCUUCUGCUGUAGGUAUAAGCAGGUGGCAUUCUGUACCUCUGAACCUAGAAACUGUGUCUAUAAUGACAAGUAAAAACAAUUAAUGGCCUCAUCACCCAUGAAUUUCUCUGAUGUCCUUUUACAGCUACUAAUGCCAGGUGCCAUGGCUGU